CAGCUGAUGCAGCUCAGCCCUGCUCCCCACACUGUUUUCAGAAUGGGAGGGGUGGAAGGGGGUGGAGGGAGCUUGUUCUGUGGGUUGCCCAGCCGGUGCUCGAGGGUAAGCUGGGUGGAUUGGAGACCCCCAAGGUGGCUGGGGCAACCCCAGAACAAACCUCCUUCCCUUGCCUUCUCCCCCUCCCAUCCUGAGAAAGAAUGGAAGCUGGGAAAGGGGGGCAGAGCCAGGGAAGAGACUGCCUCUCUCUCUCUGAAUCGGCUCCAAAGUAGAGCUUAAUCACCUACAUUCCUGAUCGAACAGCAAACAUCUUUUGGGUCAGGAAGAUUGUUCUUACUUAUGACACUUCCUGUGUAGUGCCAUGAGUUAAUGCCGGGACCUGCACUUCUGUCUGUGCCUUUUAUUGCACUACUGCUCACAGCUGUAUUCACCACUCUGUAAAAAUGAAUUCACACUUGUCUAGAAUGCUAUGAAGGUUAUUCUUGCUGAGUACUUGUCCAGCCACAAGAAUGCAAUUAACAAAGGAAAUGGUUAAAAGAGAAUGCAACUACCUACCGAAGAGGCCGUCAGUCUCUACAAAAUUAGAGGAACAUCUUUGAAGCUCAGGAGUCUCUGCUACUGUCCUUGGGCACACCACCCUCUUGUAAGCCAUGCUAAAAUGAUCAUUUCAAAAAUUAGAUGACUACCCAUUGUUCACCUGGAGAUGGAGUGUAUCACCUGACGCAACUUAACGUCAGAUCACAAGGCAGAAAGCAAAUUUAAAGCAGAAUGCAUUGGCAGCAUCAGCUAAACAGCACCAUGAAAAUCAUAAAGCAUCACAUGCAUGGGCAUAAUGUAAAUCUACAUUUGCCUCCAAUGAAGUGCUGCGUAAAAGGGAAUAAGAGUUGUGAUUAACCGGCAGAUAUCCUAUACCAAGAUUUUAGAAGCUUCACUCUCCUACCUUCCCAACCUGCAUGCUCAUGCAGCUGGAUAACUGGUUAUAUGAGAUUUCCUGACUGGGCACAUAUGGACAGUCCCUGAUCCUCAGCUGGUGAAAAUCCAAUCCACUGAAGCUAGAGAGGAUACACUGAUUUACACCAGCAGGUGAUCUGACCCAAUGACAAUCAUAACAUUGUUUUAAACUGUAUGUCUCAAUUUAUAAUUGAGUUAUUGCUUUAACUAGUACAUAAAAAUACAAGCUUACACUCUGGA
This is a long non-coding RNA of Alligator mississippiensis (American alligator), 1191 nucleotides long. RefSeq lists it as uncharacterized. NCBI's taxonomy places the organism in Eukaryota, Metazoa, Chordata, Crocodylia, Alligatoridae. The record is from RefSeq and is a predicted model, not a curated record. The transcript is spliced from 2 exons.